AUGGUUGUUAUCUCUUUUGGUUCAAAAGUUACAGACGUUUUUCUUUAAAAAUCAUAAAUUAUUGAAAAGGUGUUAUUACGGGUUGCGGCAAACAAAAUUAUAUCUUUUACCAGUAUUUAAAAGAAGCAAUAUUGUUAUAAAAUAUAUCAAAAAAUUAGAGGGGUGUUAUUUUUGUAACUCAAGAAAAAAAAAUAGUAGAAAAGUGACUAUUUUUUCUAGAAAAUCAUUAAUAUCGUUUGAUCGGAAUGACGUAGCAACAUUCUCCGCGCACGAAAAUGUGCAUUUUAGGAAGCUCUAAAAGUGGUUCUUUGACGACUUUGAUGAGGAAAUUGAAACAAAAAAGAUAAAGCGUUAACUGUUUUGACCAAAUUUGGAGCAUUUUCCCAUAGUUUUUUUUUAUAGGAUGACGCAAGAACAAACCGUUUUAUAGCUCUAUCUGUUUUGUUUUAAAUUUUUCAUAAAGUCGUCAAAGAACCACUUUUAGAGCUUCCAAAAACGCACAUUUUCGUGCGCGGAGAAUGUUGCUACGUCAUUCCGUUCAAAAGAUAUUUUAUAGAAAAAAACAGGCAAUUUUCUACUAUUUUUGCCUUUCUCGUACACCAAAGUGUACUGAAAGGCUAUAUAUUCACUCAAAAAACUAAUUUUCGAUAGAAGGCUCGGAGGGUCAAGUCACAUAUACCAAUCAACUCAGUUCGACUAAUUGAGGUGAUAUCUGUAUGUGUGUAUGUAUGUAUGUAUGUGUGUGUGUGUGUGUAUGUAUGUGUGUGUGUAUGUAUGGCUGUGUACAAAAAGGUCACUCACUUUUAAGGCACUUCCCAUUGGCCGAUUUUUCGGAUUAUAGCUCGAAUCGAACCGGAAUUUUAUUGUUUGCUGUUAAAAAUGGUCCGGAUCGGUCAAGGCGUUCCGGAGUUAUGGCCAUUUGAGCGAUCCGGACCAGCACCGGUAGAACUGGCCACAUAUAAAACUGAACCAAGCCACAUCAUGCGACACAUCAAACUGCGGUGAUUUUUGUAACCUUCAGCAUGGCUGACAAAUUUUGUGUGGAUAUCAACACAGAAGACCGAAAAUUCUACAAUGUCGGUCCAAAACUCAAGAUGGCGGUCUAAAAUCCAAAAUGGCAGCUCCAUAUUCAAGAUGGCGGCUGUAUAAUGGAGUUUUAAGCCCUAAACCAUGCAAUAUGGGUAUAUUUUGUAUAGGGAAGAUGUCUGGAGUCCAUAAAUGGCGAUUUGAAUAUCCAAGAUGGCGGUCUAAAAUCCAAGAUGGCGGCUCCAAAUUCAAGAUGGUGGUGUUUUUGGCUCUAAAUCCAUGCAAUAAGGGUACAUUUUGUAUGGGCAAGAUGUCCGGAGUCCAAAAAUGGUGACCAGAAUAUCCAAGAUAGCGGUUUAAAAUCCAAAAUGGCGACUCCAAAUUCAAGAUGGCGGCUGAAUAACGGAGUUUUAGGCCCUAAAACCGUGCAAUAAGGGUAUAUUUUGUAUGGGUAAAAUGUCUGGAGUCCAAAAAUGGCGACCUGAAUAUCCAAUAUGGCGGUCUAAAUUCAAGAUGGUGGCUUCAAAUUCAAGAUGGAGGCUGUUUGAUGGAUUUUUGGGCCCUAAAACUAUGAAAAAUGGUAUAAGGAAGAUAUCCGGAGUCCAAAAAUGGCGACCACAAUUUCCAAGAGGGCGAUCUAAAAUCCAAAAUGGCUGCUCCAAAUUCAAGACGGCGGCUGUUUAAAGCAGUUUUAGACCCUAAAUGCGUGUAAUAUGGGUAUAUUUGGUAUAGGGAAGAUGUCUGGAGUGCAAAAAUGGCGACCGCAAAAUGCAAAAUGGUGGCCCAAACACCAAGAUGGUGGCUCCAAAUUCAAGAUGGUGGCUGUUUAAUGGCGUUGUAAGCUCUAAAUCCAUGUCAUGGGUUUAUUUGAAAUAGGGACGAAUUCUGGAAGCAAAAAAAUAGUGACCGGAAUAUCCAAGAUGGCGAAUUAAAAUCCAAGAUGGCGGCUCCAAAUUCAAGAUGGUGGCUGUUCAAUGGAGUUCUGGGCUCUAAAACCAUGCAAUAUGGGUAUAUCUGGUAUGGGGAAGAAGUGUGGAGUCCAAAAAUAAAGACCAGAAUAUUCAAAAUGGCGGACUUAAAUCCAAAAUUGCGGCUCAAAAUUCAAGAUAGCGGCUUUUUCUUAAGAGUUUGAGGCUCAAACAUCAAAGCUACAUAAACGAUAUGAUUUCUGGUGCCAUGUAAUGGAUUUUUGUUUAACGUAUGAAAGUGUGAUGUUCAUCAACAUGUCACUUGAAUUUUGUUGAAAUGUGUUUUCGAAGGCACGAGAAAGGCGCCAUCACCGCUAGGUGGAUUAAUUAGGGUUUUUUCUUGUGUUACUAAAAUAACAC
Long non-coding RNA from Aedes albopictus (Asian tiger mosquito), 2354 nucleotides. RefSeq lists it as uncharacterized. The record is from RefSeq and is a predicted model, not a curated record. The transcript is spliced from 2 exons. Lineage: Eukaryota; Metazoa; Arthropoda; Insecta; Diptera; Culicidae.